RNAcentral lists this ribosomal RNA (450 nucleotides) under uncultured bacterium. RNAcentral describes it as "partial 16S ribosomal RNA". It matches the Rfam family "Bacterial small subunit ribosomal RNA", at positions 354 to 796 of the family's 1533-position model. The record is from RNAcentral.
GUGGGGAAUAUUGGACAAUGGGCGAAAGCCUGAUCCAGCCAUGCCGCGUGUGUGAAGAAGGUCUUCGGAUUGUAAAGCACUUUAAGUAGGGAGGAAGGGCAGUAAGUUAAUACCUUGCUGUUUUGACGUUACCGACAGAAUAAGCACCGGCUAACUUCGUGCCAGCAGCCGCGGUAAUACGAAGGGUGCAAGCGUUAAUCGGAAUUACUGGGCGUAAAGCGCGCGUAGGUGGUUUUGUAAGUUGGAGGUGAAAUCCCCGGGCUCAACCUGGGAACUGCCUCCAAAACUGCAUGACUAGAGUACGGUAGAGGGUAGUGGAAUUUCCUGUGUAGCGGUGAAAUGCGUAGAUAUAGGAAGGAACACCAGUGGCGAAGGCGACUACCUGGACUGAUACUGACACUGAGGUGCGAAAGCGUGGGGAGCAAACAGGAUUAGAAACCCGGGUAGUCC